RNAcentral lists this ribosomal RNA (431 nucleotides) under uncultured bacterium. Its description in RNAcentral is "partial 16S ribosomal RNA". It matches the Rfam family "Bacterial small subunit ribosomal RNA", at positions 29 to 507 of the family's 1533-position model. The record is from RNAcentral.
AGCGAACGCUGGCGGCAGGCUUAACACAUGCAAGUCGAGCGCCCCGCAAGGGGAGCGGCAGACGGGAGAGUAACACGUGGGAACAUACCUUUUGGUUCGGAACAACUGAGGGAAACUUCAGCUAAUACCGGAUAAGCCCUUACGGGGAAAGAUUUAUCGCCGAAAGAUUGGCCCGCGUCUGAUUAGCUAGUUGGUGAGGUAACGGCUCACCAAGGCGACGAUCAGUAGCUGGUCUGAGAGGAUGAUCAGCCUCACUGGGACUGAGACACGGCCCAGACUCCUACGGGAGGCAGCAGUGGGGAAUAUUGGACAAUGGGGGCAACCCUGAUCCAGCCAUGCCGCGUGAGUGAUGAAGGCCUUAGGGUUGUAAAGCUCUUUUGCCCGGGAAGAUAAUGACGGUACUGGGAGAAUAAGCCCCGGCUAACUUCGUG